Non-coding RNA from Pantherophis guttatus, 435 nucleotides. Lineage: Eukaryota; Metazoa; Chordata; Lepidosauria; Squamata; Colubridae. The record is from RefSeq and is a predicted model, not a curated record.
CUGUACUGUCUCCUCCAUUCAGGGGAGAAAAUAAGAACUCCCUGAUCAUCGCAGAUUGGACUCGGGAGAAGAAAGAAAAACUGAGAGAGAAAGGAAGGAAGUGGGUGCAAGGAAGAUCCACUUGACUGAACGAGGCGGUUUCAUGCUGGUUGAGAGAGAAACAGGACAGCUGUCAACCAAAAAAGCCAUCUUUAAAGGACAGGUCGCCAUCUAGUGGCACUCUGCUUUAUCUUUCUCAAAAUCUCAGCGGUCCAAGGAUUCUCCUGGAAGGACACGCAGUUGCCUCUCUCCUUGAGUUUCUACCCGUUGCUUCUUGUCCUGCCCUCAGGGGCUUUGGAGAAUAGGAUGACCCCCUUUUCUGAGACUUUGGAAGACUGCUCUCAUGUCACUCCUAGUCCUUCUUUUCAUUAAACUAGACAUACCCAAAUCCUACAA